Molecule: ribosomal RNA, 526 nt
Filed under: uncultured eukaryote
Lineage: Eukaryota
Description: SSU rRNA
Rfam family: Eukaryotic small subunit ribosomal RNA
Source: RNAcentral
CAAAGAUUAAGCCAUGCAAGUCUAAGUAUAAUUGUUUUACGGUGAAACUGCGAAUGGCUCAUUAAAUCAGUUAUAGUUUAUUUGAUGCUAUAGACCGAAAGGUCACUACAUGGAUAUCUGUAGUAACAUAGAGCUAAUACAUGCAAUAUAGUCUGACUUUUUGGAAGGACUAGCACUUAUUAGAUAUUAAACCGAUCCCAGCAAUGGGUUUUAUGGUGAUUCAUAGUAACUGAACAAAUCACAUGGUCUUGUACCGGUGAUGUUUCAUUCAAAUUUCUGCCCUAUCAACUAGAUGGUAGUAUAUAGGACUACCAUGGCUGUAACGGGUAACGGAGGAUUAGGGUUUGAUUCCGGAGAAGGAGCAUGAGAAACGGCUACUAUUUCUAAGGAAAGCAGCAGGCGCGCAAAUUAUUCAAUGGAAACAAUUUUCCGAAAUAGUGACAAAAAAUAUCAAUGCUAGGUACAAUGUAUUUAGUAAUUGGAAUGAGUACAAUUUAAAUCCCUUAACAAGUAACAAUUAGAGGGC